GCCUGCGGGCGGGGCGGCUGACGGCGGGGAUACCGGGGAGCUGGAGCUGCCUGCGGCCACCAGAGACGGCCCUGCGGCUGCCUGCCCCACCUGCGAGGUGAGAGCUGGAAGCCGGCAGCCCACCGCUGCCAAGAAGCCUCCUCCGUACCGGCUGCGAGCCCCAUACAGGACUGACCCAGAUGUGAGAAGAACCCAAAGGAAAGCCCCGGCAGGACGUGUCAGCAGAGCUCCUGGGGCGGCCGGGAAGAGCUCUUCCAAAGCUGUGGCUCCCAAACAAGGAGGCAGGCGUGGGCCGGCGGUCCCUGCGGCAGCCAAACCCCAGAGGACAGCUGGCUUCCCCAGGUCUGCCCCCAGUGAGCAGCACGGCCUCCCUGCUGGGGAUGGGAGCUCGGUGGCUGUGUGUGGGCAGCAGCUCAGUGCGGGGAAGAGGUGCUGUGCCCCCCUCAGACUGCCCGGUGGAGCAGAGGAGCACACUGCUGGUGCACGGAGCGCAUCACCGCGGGCAGCCGCGCUGCAGGAGCAGGGAUGCCAGCUGGAGCUGCCCCUUCCCUACAGGAAAGCCCACACCAGGAACUCCAGGGCAUGGGAGAAGUGCCGUCUCUGCCACACCAGUGCUGAUGCAGCGGCUGCGAGGACGCGUUUCACAGAGAGGAUCCAGAGCUCCUUUUGUUCACCAACGCCGACGCUCAGCCCUGCAGAGAUAGAGAAGGAAUUAAAAGCCCUCCAGGAUGUCCCCUCCCGUCUGAGCCUGUAUGUGGAAGCUGAGUCUGCAGACCAUCCCACUCUUCAAAGAGAGUAUGAAAGCCUUCUGACCUUGGAAGGUCUGCAAAGCACAGUCUCCCAGUGCUUGCAUAAGCUGCAGCUCCUACGGGCAGCUGUGGAGUCCCAAAGGAAGCUGCACCCAGGCUGCACUGGGGACCAAAGAGACUGCUGUGCAGCCUGUGCUGCCGGGGCUUGGGUGUGUGGCAGUGCAGGCACGCUGGCUGUGCCUCUCCUGUGCUACUCCAGGCUCCAGGAGCUGAGGGAUCUGUUUGCCUUGAAGCUGCAAGUGUCGAUGCUGCACCAGCAGAUUGCCUUACAAAAGCUCACGAUGACAGAACUGCUGCCUGUCCUGGACUCCAGGCCCUGCCCAGGGACCUCUGUGGCUCAGCUCUACAGGGCGAUGUACACACAGCUCUGCGAGGGAGGCGGGCGCUUCCCUGUGCUGGUGCGAGAUGAGCUGGCAGACUGAGCUGGUGAGAGCCUCCCUAUGGCCAUUCACAUAAACAGCCACGGUUUUAAGCAAUAAAUCCUUUCUG
This 1298-nucleotide long non-coding RNA is filed under the name Gallus gallus (chicken). RNAcentral describes it as "C16orf59 homolog (C16orf59)". The record is from RNAcentral. Lineage: Eukaryota; Metazoa; Chordata; Aves; Galliformes; Phasianidae.